This 174-nucleotide microRNA precursor is filed under the name Prunus dulcis (almond). RNAcentral describes it as "sRNA ncRNA". Lineage: Eukaryota; Viridiplantae; Streptophyta; Magnoliopsida; Rosales; Rosaceae. The record is from RNAcentral.
GUGAAGCAGAGACCCUCUCACUCCCUCUCUCUUCUCUCUCUCUCUCUCUCUCAAGGUUUGCUGAAAAGACUGCCGCUUGAGAGGAGCUUAUGAAGGAAAUGAGCGGCUCUUUUUAGGGUAAAGUGAGUAUGAGAGAGAGAGAGAGAGAGAGAGAGAUUGAGAAAAUAUACACAG